This 903-nucleotide ribosomal RNA is filed under the name Triticum aestivum (bread wheat). RNAcentral describes it as "partial small subunit ribosomal RNA". Lineage: Eukaryota; Viridiplantae; Streptophyta; Magnoliopsida; Poales; Poaceae. The record is from RNAcentral.
CGGCCGGGCACGACGGUGCAACGGUCGCUCUCCUAUUCCCGUCGGGGCUGCGGAGCCCGAGGGAGGGGUGAGCGGGUGAGGUGGGUCGAGAGGGAGAGGCGGAGGGGGAGCGAGAGGUCUAGCGGCGAGUGGGAGGGAGGAGCGGCUUGCGGUAGCACCGGUACCGGCGGCACAUCGGCGCUGGUGGCGGAGGGGGUUCAUAGAGGCUGGAUGGGACGUCGUGACGGCGCCAGGCGACGAAGCUGACGCGGUGGUUUAGCUAGGGCCCUUCGGUAGGGAAGCUGCGGUGGCUAGAGGAGGUGGAAGCCGGCAGCGUGCGACGUCGGUAUCGGUUGUCGGAGGGGCUCGGCGCUCAACUCCGGGAUCUCCUGGUGGUAGUAGCAGACGUAGUAGAUGCUCCUGAGCAAGCUGGUCUCGGCGUGACGGUGUAGCUGUAACCUGGAAGAAGGAGGCGUCGUCGGUGGCCAGCGCCAGCAGUUUAAGCGGUAGCAGUGCAGCAGGGGCUCGGGCGACGGGGGGAAUGUUUGUAUAUACGACGUUGAUCUACCAACUCGGGUCCUCGGUCUACCAUGACGGCUGCUGAUGAUGAUGGGGCUGCCUCUGAUGAUGAUGUACCACUGGCCGUUACUGAUCCUCAUCAACUCCUCCGAGGGCCCGUCCUCCGGAACGGAAAAGCUCGCAACUAUGAAAACACGAUCGGAAGAAUCCCGUUUGAACAACUUGAGUACAGACGUGAGUCUAUUACAACGAAGGCGACUGAGCAAACAUAAGCUCGGGAGCUCCGGGGACCGAACAUUAUAUUUCGAACAAAAUAAAAUUAAAAACAGAUCUCAACACAACACUAUAGAAGGACAUUCAGGGACUAGAACUAGUAUGUGUAAACGUACAUACUAAUCAAUGAUA